CUAGCGACAGGCUAACACAUGCAAGUCGAGGGCGAGCAUAAAAGUAGCAAUACUUGGUGGCGACCGGCGCACGGGUGAGUAACGCGUAUGCAACCUACCUAUCAGAGGGAAUAACCCGGCGAAAGUCGGACUAAUACCGCAUAAAACAGGGGCACCGCAUGGUGAUAUUUGUUAAAGAAAUUCGCUGAUAGAUGGGCAUGCGUUCCAUUAGGUAGUUGGUGAGGUAACGGCUCACCAAGCCGACGAUGGAUAGGGGAACUGAGAGGUUGGUCCCCCACACUGGUACUGAGACACGGACCAGACUCCUACGGGAGGCAGCAGUGAGGAAUAUUGGUCAAUGGGCGGGAGCCUGAACCAGCCAAGUCGCGUGAAGGAAAAGAAGGAUCUAUGGUUCGUAAACUUCUUUUGCAGGGGAAUAAAGUGCAGGACGUGUCCUGUUUUGUAUGUACCCUGAGAAUAAGGAUCGGCUAACUCCGUGCCAGCAGCUGC
This 489-nucleotide ribosomal RNA is filed under the name uncultured bacterium. RNAcentral describes it as "bacterial SSU rRNA". It matches the Rfam family "Bacterial small subunit ribosomal RNA", at positions 36 to 518 of the family's 1533-position model. The record is from RNAcentral.